RNAcentral lists this long non-coding RNA (3202 nucleotides) under Salmo salar (Atlantic salmon). Its description in RNAcentral is "lncRNA (ENSSSAG00000112568.1)". The record is from RNAcentral. Lineage: Eukaryota; Metazoa; Chordata; Actinopteri; Salmoniformes; Salmonidae.
AAUUAAUUCCAUUCCCCACCCCCAAGAACCCCCCAAUGCACCAACAACCAAGAGAAUGAACUAAAGAGAAAAAAGGAAGACAGAAGAAAACAACAAACAAAUAAUACAUUUAAAACAAAGGACAUCAAGGCCAACUGUAUAUGUUUGUGUGCAUGUCUGGCACUAUUACAUGUAUGUGUGUGUUCUUGUAUGUGUUUAUUUGAAUGAGAGUGUGUGUAUAUGUGUACAAACACCUGCACGGCCUCAGCCUCAGGAAAACUCUGCCACUUAGUGUCAUUCAAAUGUACUUUUUAUUAUGAUUUAUUUUUUAAACUUUAAAAAAAAAGUAUUUUUGACCAUGAUUCUCUCUGUCACUCAGCAACUCCACUCCCACUUGUCUCCAAUUCCACAUACCUUCCCUCAGCCCAUCCCAACUAUCUCUGCUAUGAAACUUUGUCAAUGAUGACACAAUCUUUCAAAGUGUGUGAUUGUACACGUAUUUUUAAAACGUUCACUCACUGCCUAUAGACCGUUACCAUAUGGUGUUCAAAUGUAUUAUGAACGUUUCACUGACCUGCAUUUCAGGUUUGUUCUUUGUGUGCAUGUAUGGAUAACAUUAUGGUGACAUAUAACGACCUUCUGCUGUUAUAGGUGACAAUUGAACUCCACAAGUGCUACUCUAGGAUCAUGUUCUCCCUGUCUAGGUAAUCUUAAUCAUUUCUGAUCAUAAAAGGCACAAAUGAUCCUACAUCAGCACUCCUACCCUCCUCUUCUCUGGAGAUCAGACUGUUGACAGUUCACAGAAGAUAUGGUUUAGUUUGAUAGAAUGAUUUGAGCGCGGGAUGCAUUAUUUGGGCCACUGCUUAGUGUUUACUGUGGAUGGAUGCCUUGUGUGUCUCACGUUUGUCUCACAGAGAAAAGUCUCAGAUGACAGACUUGACUUGCCAUUAACCCUUUCACUCUGUGAGGAGCAUAGGUCAACCACAAAUGAUCUCUGCUGGUAACCGAGCCACCACAGAUACAUGGGGACUAUUACACUGUCACACUUGGCAGGCCCUUGAUUUACUUUGUCUGAGUGGUAACAAAUAAAACACAUAAAAUGCAUUAUAAACUGGGUGGUUCGAGCCCUGAAUGCUGAUUGGCUGACAGCCGUGGUAUAUCAGACCACAGGUAUGACAAAACAUUUAUUUUUACUGCUCUAAUUAUGUCAGAGGUUUGUGGUAUAUGGCCAAUAUACCACGGCUAAGGGCUGUAUGCAGGCACUCCGCUUUGCCGUGGUAUGUUUUAUUUACUCUUUUUCACACCAGGCAUGGGGAUGAGGACCACUGAAGUGGGAAGAAAAGGAUGUCUGAGCCAUGAUUUUCUCUUCACAGUGAAAUGCUCUGUUCGGGAUGGGCAACCCCUUGCUCGACAUCUCAGCUGGACAACGACUUCCUCCACAAGUAUGGACUGAAGCCCAGCACCCAGAUACUGACCGAGGACAAGCACAAAGCCAUUAGGUCCUAUGAUUGAGUGUAGUCUGGCCCAGGAGUGUGAAGGUGAACGGAAAGGUUCUGGAGCAACGAACCGCCCUUGCUGUCUCUGCCUGGCCGGUUCCCCUCUCUCCACUGGGAUUCUCUGCCUCUAACCCUAUUACAGGGGCUGAGUCACUGGCUUACUGGUGCUCUUCCAUGCCGUCCCUAGGAGGGGUACGUCACUUGAGUGUGUUGAGUCACUGACGUGGUCUUCCUGUCUUGGGUUGUGCCGUGGCGGAGAUCUUUGUGGGCUAUACUCGGCCUUGUCUCAGGAUGGACCUGAGCCCUAGGACCAUGCCUCACGACUACCUGGCAUGAUGACUCCUUGCUGUCCCCAGUCCACCUGGCCGUGCUGCUGCUCCAGUUUCAACUGUUCUGCCUGCAGCUAUGGAACCCUGACCUGUUCACUGGAUGUGCUACCUGUCCCAGACCUGCUGUUUUCAACUCUCUAGAGACAGCAGGAGCGGUAGAGAUACUCGCAAUGAUCGGCUAUGAAAAGCCAACUGACAUUUACUCUUGGGGUGCUGACUUGUUGCACCCUCGACAACUACUGUGAUUACUAUUAUUUGACCCUGGUGGUCAUUUAUGAACAUUUGAACAUCUUGGCCAUGUUCUGUUAUAAUCUCCACCCGGCACAGCCAGAAGAGGAUUGGCCACCCCUCAUAGCCUGGUUCCUCUCUAGGUUUCUUCCUAGGUUUUGGUUUUGGCCUUUCUAGGUAGUUUUUCCUAGCCACCGUGCUUCUACACCUGCAUUGCUUGCUGUUUGGGGUUUUAGGCUUGCUUUCUGUACAGCACUUUUAGAUAUCAGCUGAUGUAAGAAGGGCUAUAUAAAUACAUUUGAUUUGAAGUCAGAUUCUACUUUAAAAAUGGGGCAGUGUAGUUUCAUCUUGGAUUUACUUUGUGGAAUCAUUUUUUUUAUUUGAUAGAAUUAAGAGAACAGUGUUUGGCCAGUGUUAGGCUAGUAGCCUAUUCAUGCACUUGUUUUAAUACCCUUUGAGUUUAAACAAAUGUUUUAAUGUAGUCGCAUGUAUACAGAAUCUGAUCAAUAUUUUGUUAUCUGUACAACAGUGCCACCGUGUGGCUGGAAAUGGAACCUAAUGGUCACAUGACACUGUAUAGUACAGGAUAAACAGAAUAUUUACCCUCUCUCUCCUGCAGGUGGCAAGAGCAGCGUUUUCUUUACCGGGAUUCAACAUGACAACAUUAGAAAACACAACUCAAAUCUGCAAAAGAGAAAAUGGCAUCUACUUUUCAUAGUUAUGAUAAAUAUACUUUUUAGAGUGGCAUUCAUUUGUAUUAUUAUGACUAAGGCAUAGGGACUGUAUUGUUGUCUAGGAAAUAUUCUCAGGCAUAUAUUAAACCAUAUGUCAUAUAAACAUCAAAUUACACUUUUAUUAGUCUGUUCGAGAUAACAUAAACCAUGUCAUUUAGCCUCUACACAGAGUAAUUCAACAGCCUCUUGUUAAAUAUUGUCAUAUUAACCCUGAAAUUAGGCAAUUAAAUUACCCUGUUAGAUGACUGAAUGAAGCCCUUUUCAUCAAUAAGGACCCCCAGAUAAAUAUUCAACAGCUUCCUGCGUGAACUGUACAUACAACCUGUUCACUAUUAGUUUAUCAUGACACCUGCGUCUGUCCAAUUCAAUGAUAAUAAAUAGUUUAGUUUCUCAUCUUGGCACUGAUGGUAAUGACUCCUUUCAGAGCUUGUUUGCU